UACGGGAAGGGCAAGCGUUAUCCGGCGUGACUGGGCGUAAAGAGUCCGUAGACGGUAAAGUAAGUUUAUUGUUAAAUGUUAAAAACUUAAUUUUAAUAGAGCAAUAAAUACUGCUUUACUUUGAGUUUUAAUAUAGAAAAAGUAGAAUUUUAUAUGGUAGGGGUGAAAUCCGUAGAUAUAUAAAGGAAUGUCAACAGCGAAGGCAACUUUUUUGGUAUAAACUGACGUUGAGGGACGAAAGUGUGGGGGAGCAAACAGG
RNAcentral lists this ribosomal RNA (259 nucleotides) under uncultured bacterium. Its description in RNAcentral is "partial 16S ribosomal RNA". It matches the Rfam family "Bacterial small subunit ribosomal RNA", at positions 524 to 776 of the family's 1533-position model. The record is from RNAcentral.